CGGUAUUCGGAGGUUCGAAUCCUUCCGUCCCAG
This 33-nucleotide transfer RNA is filed under the name Zieria veronicea subsp. veronicea. Its description in RNAcentral is "partial tRNA-Gln". Lineage: Eukaryota; Viridiplantae; Streptophyta; Magnoliopsida; Sapindales; Rutaceae. The record is from RNAcentral.